Danio rerio (zebrafish) is the source of this 1567-nucleotide non-coding RNA. NCBI's taxonomy places the organism in Eukaryota, Metazoa, Chordata, Actinopteri, Cypriniformes, Danionidae. The record is from RefSeq and is a predicted model, not a curated record.
UUAAAGCCACAAAAGGGAAACUAAUGGCGAGGAUGUUUUUUGUUUUGACUGUUUUUCUUUUUUGAGCAAAUAUAUUAAACAAAUCCUAUAAAUAAAAUACACUGUAAAAAGUUCUUCAAGGGUGUUGUCCAUAGGAAUUAAUUUUAAAAAGUAUAUUUCUUCCAAUAAAUUGAUUACCUUUCCAUUUUGAAUUAAUUUAAGUUUUACAUAAGUAAAAAUUGCGAUUGUUUUUGUAACUUAUUAUUACCCAUCAAAAAAUUGUGUUUUACUGACCUUCAAAAUAAAUUGCUUCUACAAAACUCUAUUUAAGUGUUUAUAUCCAAAGUAAAACUUCACGACCCGCCCACAUGACGCAGCAGGCAUGCAGAGCAACGACACCGUUGCUCAUACCUGUACCGGACAAGUUUCGACGUUCUGUGGAGUUUUUGAGGGCUUUAUACAACGUGUAACACAUAGAGAUGUCAGAAGCAUAAAUGACAUGAUGGCUAGGACAUAUAGCUGGGGGAGAAUGGAUUGGUUGUCCAGAGCCCAGAUGUGCAAAAAUUAAAGAAAGAUGGCCUGCCCAGAUAAACGAAGAAUUCCAAAGGUGUACUGGUGUUCCACAAGAAUCGGUUUUUAUUUCCCAGCUGGACAAAUACACUCCAAAACUUCUUGACCUGUUUAGUGCGAAGGGUGCAGCGACUGGUGAAAACAUCAAUUGGAGUUAUUGGAACUGAUACAGGAUUCAAGUACCUCUGUGGUGAGGAACAGAGACGUGGCUCUGAGAUGCCUCAUUGAAUACAUGGGAGAGAGUGGGCAAAAGCUGAUCUCUGACUACUAUGGAAAAACAGAGAGCAGUGUCUAUGAAGACUUGGAAAUGCGCAAUAUGCAGAUAUAUGUCUGCCGUGUUCCAGAUGUUGUGGGCAUCAUCAUUGAGGGCAUCCCUGUGCUUACUCGUCUUGGAAACCACGCCAGGGCUAUGAACUUGCAGUAUCCACCACAACUCAGCAAAACAUUUCAGGUGUUUCAAAGACAUUUUGUGGGACUUGACACACUGCGUCCAAAGUCUUCCUCCUGAUUCAUGACACAAAAACUUCUGAAUUAGUUAAUUAGUUGCCGCUCAGAGGUUCUGUUUCUUUGCUUCAUCACUUUUGUUCAAUGGACAGUUUGACUUGGAACAAUGUGGUAGUCACGCACCGACUUCUUCAGUUUCUGGAUAAGUCUGCAGCAAAUAUGGGCAUUUGAUUUGCUUUUGUAUAUAUGGGGCAAAGUUUGUUUUGUUAUGUCAAAUGCUGAGAUCAGAGGCACUUAAUUUUUUUUAUUUCAAUGUUGUAGUACAUAUGAAAAUGUACUGUACUGUGUACACAACAGGCAUCAGUUGGACACCUCAAACCCCCAUGAGGAUCCACACACACACACAAACACACACACACACACACACACGCUCAGUUUUAAUGGGUAAAGUUUAAUAGGGAUACAGCUGCAGAUACUCGCAUCAUUCAUUCAUUUUCCUUCAGCUUAGUCCUUCAUUUAUCAGGAGUUGCCACAGCGAAAUGAGCCAUCAACUACUCUGGCAUAUGUUUUACAC